GACGAACGCUGGCGGCGUGCCUAAUACAUGCAAGUAGAACGCUGAAGGAGGAGCUUGCUUCUCUGGAUGAGUUGCGAACGGGUGAGUAACGCGUAGGUAACCUGCCUGGUAGCGGGGGAUAACUAUUGGAAACGAUAGCUAAUACCGCAUAAUAGUAGAUGUUGCAUGACAUUUGCUUAAAAGGUGCAAUUGCAUCACUACCAGAUGGACCUGCGUUGUAUUAGCUAGUUGGUGGGGUAACGGCUCACCAAGGCGACGAUACAUAGCCGACCUGGGAGGGGGAUCGGCCACCCUGGGACUUAGACACGGCCCAGACUCCUACGGGAGGCAGCCGUAGGGAAUCUUCGGCAAUGGACGGAAGUCUGACCGAGCCACGCCGCGUGAGUGGAGAAGGUUUUCGGAUCGUAAAGCUCUGUUGUUAGAGAAGAACGAGUGUGAGAGUGGAAAGUUCACACUGUGACGGUAUCUUACCAGAAAGGGACGGCUAACUACGUG
RNAcentral lists this ribosomal RNA (495 nucleotides) under uncultured bacterium. Its description in RNAcentral is "partial 16S ribosomal RNA". It matches the Rfam family "Bacterial small subunit ribosomal RNA", at positions 28 to 507 of the family's 1533-position model. The record is from RNAcentral.